UACGUAGGUGGCAAGCGUUGUCCGGAUUUAUUGGGCGUAAAGCGCGCGCAGGCGGUUCUUUAAGUCUGAUGUGAAAUCUUGCGGCUUAACCGCAAGCGGUCAUUGGAAACUGGGGAACUUGAGUACAGAAGAGGAAAGUGGAAUUCCACGUGUAGCGGUGAAAUGCGUAGAGAUGUGGAGGAACACCAGUGGCGAAGGCGGCUCACUGGAUCGGUACUGACGCUGAGGUGCGAAAGCGUGGGGAGCAAACAGG
This 253-nucleotide ribosomal RNA is filed under the name uncultured bacterium. RNAcentral's name for it is "partial 16S ribosomal RNA". It matches the Rfam family "Bacterial small subunit ribosomal RNA", at positions 524 to 776 of the family's 1533-position model. The record is from RNAcentral.